GGGGGAAAAGGGGGGUUACCUAUACAUGCAGUCGAGCGAACUGAUUAGAAGCUUGCUUCUAUGACGUUAGCGGCGGACGGGUGAGUAACACGUGGGCAACCUGCCUGUAAGACUGGGAUAACUUCGGGAAACCGAAGCUAAUACCGGAUAGGAUCUUCUCCUUCAUGGGAGAUGAUUGAAAGAUGGUUUCGGCUAUCACUUACAGAUGGGCCCGCGGUGCAUUAGCUAGUUGGUGAGGUAACGGCUCACCAAGGCAACGAUGCAUAGCCGACCUGAGAGGGUGAUCGGCCACACUGGGACUGAGACACGGCCCAGACUCCUACGGGAGGCAGCAGUAGGGAAUCUUCCGCAAUGGACGAAAGUCUGACGGAGCAACGCCGCGUGAGUGAUGAAGGCUUUCGGGUCGUAAAACUCUGUUGUUAGGGAAGAACAAGUACGAGAGUAACUGCUCGUACCUUGACGGUACCUAACCAGAAAGCCACGGCUAACUACGUGCCAGCAGCCGCGGUAAUACGUAGGUGGCAAGCGUUAUCCGGAAUUAUUGGGCGUAAAGCGCGCGCAGGCGGUUUCUUAAGUCUGAUGUGAAAGCCCACGGCUCAACCGUGGAGGGUCAUUGGAAACUGGGGAACUUGAGUGCAGAAGAGAAAAGCGGAAUUCCACGUGUAGCGGUGAAAUGCGUAGAGAUGUGGAGGAACACCAGUGGCGAAGGCGGCUUUUUGGUCUGUAACUGACGCUGAGGCGCGAAAGCGUGGGGAGCAAACAGGAUUAGAUACCUUGGUAGUCCAAAA
This 788-nucleotide ribosomal RNA is filed under the name Priestia megaterium. RNAcentral describes it as "bacterial SSU rRNA". It matches the Rfam family "Bacterial small subunit ribosomal RNA", at positions 26 to 800 of the family's 1533-position model. The record is from RNAcentral. Lineage: Bacteria; Bacillati; Bacillota; Bacilli; Caryophanales; Bacillaceae.